UACGUAGGGUGCGAGCGUUGUCCGGGAUUAUUGGGCGUAAAGGGCUCGUAGGCGGUCUGUCGCGUCGAAAGUGAAAACUCAGGGCUUAACCCUGAGCCUGCUUCCGAUACGGGCAGACUAGAGUACUGCAGGGGAGACUGGAAUUCCUGGUGUAGCGGUGAAAUGCGCAGAUAUCAGGAAGAACACCCGUGGCUAAGGCGGCUCUCUAGUACGGUACUGACGCUGAGACGCGAAAGCGUGGGGAGCGAACAGG
RNAcentral lists this ribosomal RNA (253 nucleotides) under uncultured bacterium. RNAcentral describes it as "partial 16S ribosomal RNA". It matches the Rfam family "Bacterial small subunit ribosomal RNA", at positions 524 to 776 of the family's 1533-position model. The record is from RNAcentral.